AUUGAACGCUGGCGGCAUGCUUUACACUUGCAAGUCGAACUGUAACAGGCCGCAAGGUGCUGACGAGUGGCGAACGGGUGAGUAAUGCAUCGGAACGUGCCCAGUCGUGGGGGAUAACGCAGCGAAAGCUGUGCUAAUACCGCACACGAUCUAUGGAUGAAAGCGGGGGACCGUAAGGCCUCGCGCGAUUGGAGCGGCCGAUGUCAGAUUAGGUAGUUGGUGGGGUAAAGGCUCACCAAGCCAACGAUCUGUAGCUGGUCUGAGAGGACGACCAGCCACACUGGGACUGAGACACGGCCCAGACUCCUACGGGAGGCAGCAGUGGGGAAUUUUGGACAAUAGGCGCAAGCCUGAUCCAGCAAUGCCGCGUGCAGGAAGAAGGCCUUCGGGUUGUAAACUGCUUUUGUACGGAACGAAAAGGUUUGGGUUAAUACCCUGGGCCGAUGACGGUACCGUAAGAAUAAGCACCGGCUAACUACGUGCCAGCCGCCGCCGUAA
This 498-nucleotide ribosomal RNA is filed under the name uncultured bacterium. Its description in RNAcentral is "partial 16S ribosomal RNA". It matches the Rfam family "Bacterial small subunit ribosomal RNA", at positions 30 to 523 of the family's 1533-position model. The record is from RNAcentral.